RNAcentral lists this long non-coding RNA (2355 nucleotides) under Homo sapiens (human). RNAcentral describes it as "long intergenic non-protein coding RNA 280". Lineage: Eukaryota; Metazoa; Chordata; Mammalia; Primates; Hominidae. The record is from RNAcentral.
GGGAGUGGAAUGAAUUGAUGCUGGGUGGGAUGUGGCCUCCACACUUAACUCUUGUUUUCCUGAAUUACAUGUUUCUCUUCGGGCCUAGGGUUUCCUGCAUCUGGCUCAAUGACUUCCACACUAAGCAUUUCCCAGUUCAUGGAGAACGACACUCAUUGGAAUCCACUACGAGGCUUUUGGGUCCUCUGACAGGAAUCAUCGAAGAUUGCCUGAUGCCAGCACAAGGCAGCUCAUUGUCUCAGUGGCUCUUGAUGGUACUGCUGGACACCCUUUUCAGGAUUGCUAUCACCACAGACGGCCUUUGAGACACUGACUCAACAUCAUCUGCAACUGUGAGAAGCCAAUCAGAGGUGUGAGAACACAGCUCCACCUUGGUCUUGCCGUUGUCAUGGUUACUGCCUUUCCCUGAGAGCCUCUGUGAGGCCCAGGAUGAAGAGAGACAGUGUGGUAAAGAGAACAACCAUCUUUCACUGACGCCAGCCUCUGGGGUCUCAGGGUUUUCUGGGUGUGGCUCACCAUUUUCCAUACUAAACGUUUUCUGCUCCAUGAAGAACGACCUACGUGGGAAUCCAUUGUGUGAUUGUUUCCUUCAAAAUACUGUCAAGUUUUAAAGACUGGGCAGCUUUGAUAGUUUUAAAACUAUAAAUUCCAGCUAUAGCUGCUAACAAGGAAACUCUUGUUCUCCCACUUUUAUUGGAUGGCUGCAUGAUUCCUGUGGGAUGAGAAAGAGGCAACCAUGUCUGGCUUUUGCCUGGUAAUCCAGCCUCUGUUUCAUUUCAUCUGCACAACCUUCUCAUUGUGGAAGGGUUCUUUCAUCGGGCUGUUGGUGGAUGGGACUGCCUCUCAUCACAAUUAUUUAGCUGCCCUGAAAUACAUACUUUAGUAAACAAUUUAGCACUUGUAAUUUUUCAACUUUGUUUUCAGCGGAAGUUAAUGAUGUAUGGCAUUUCUAGUAGGUAAAUGAAUGUCUGAAUUGUUGUGAGUUACUUUAGUCACUUCUCAGCUAACAAUUUAAGUUAUCAAAGGUCUUUACUUGUGCAAUAUCAUAAAUGAUGGAUAUUAAAAAUUAAUAGAAUGGAUCUAACUAAAAGCUGCCAUCUAACGUGAUAUUUUUCAGGAAGAUGACAGCAGUAAUUAUGCCAAAAAAUAGUCAUUCUCUUAGUUUGACCCAUAAUAGCAAUUUCCAACCAAAGAUUCCACAGGCAGGGUCCAGAUCUGGGCAACAGUUAUUAACAUAAUGGUUAUUGUUGAGAAUAAAUUUUGAUACGUCUAGCUGUGCUUGAAUGUCAGUGCUUUGAAGGGACAGGUUUGGCGUAUUAAUAAGAAAGGGUGCAUUGGACUGAAUACUAAUAAAUGAAUUGUUUUUCUUAUCUUCUAUAACAUGAAAGUUCAAUUUGAGAUAUAGAAACACUGGAACAUUUCACAGCAUGGCCUGACAUUUCACUGCGUUUUUAUUUUUUAACGAUGUACAAAGUUCAUUAAAUACACAAAGGUAGGACUGCUACAGGAAGAAAGUGGUGGAGUCAGAGGUCACAAUCCAAAGCAAGGUGACAGUCUCUUGACGAAGACACCCUGAGUGCUGAAUUAAGGUGAGAAUCAACUUUCAGCUGUUAACAGGGGACAGGGAGAAUGAAGUUAUCAGCAGUUAACAUUAUUGGAUUAAUUGAAAUGAAUGUUGACAGAGAUUUUAUUGGCUUUACAUCAAAUGGAGUAUAGUACUUCAAAUUGCGUAUUUGAUGAGGGUAAACUCUUAUCAAUUUGCCACAUGUAAAAUUGAGAAUUAAUUAAGAGAUUACACAACCCAUACAUUAUGGGUAUCUCAUAUAAAUUUAAAUACACAUGUGCAAACUUGCAGUGUGCAAAUAUUUGUCUAUACCUAAAUAUAUCCAAAUCCAUUGAUGAACAGUUAGAAAUUUAGAAAUUAUUCUCCCAUUUUAUCAUUCCCUUUCCUAGAAUUUGGUCACAAAUAUAAUUUUUCCAUCUCUUUGAAUCCUACUCUCUGGAGGUAUGUAAUGUAUGGACACAGUAAAGCCUUGAGAUAUCACAGGGUUUGUAUCAGAGAAAAUAAUAACACUGGUGUUACAAAAGAUCCACUGUGAGGAGAAAGAUAUAUUUAACAUGAUUACAAAUACAGAAGUAUUAUUUCAUCAAAAGCUGAUAUCAGUGAAUACAAUUUGUUUUUAAUGUUUUAUUUAAAAUAUUUAAUAUCAGAAGAAUUUCUUGAGUAGAAUAAUGAUAUUGGUAAGAAAUAAUGAUUCAGAAUUUCCUUUAAUUUGUUGAUUAUUUAAAAUGUAAGUGAAAUACUAAAAAGUACUGUAUAAUGUAGUUUCAUGAAGCAUUCUCUAUGGUUUUAUA